This 255-nucleotide ribosomal RNA is filed under the name uncultured bacterium. RNAcentral's name for it is "partial 16S ribosomal RNA". It matches the Rfam family "Bacterial small subunit ribosomal RNA", at positions 337 to 602 of the family's 1533-position model. The record is from RNAcentral.
GCCUACGGGACGCAGCAGUAGGGAAUUUUCGGCAAUGGGGGGAACCCUGACCGAGCAACGCCGCGUGAACGAAGAAGUUAUUCGUAAUGUAAAGUUAUUUUAUCAGGGAAGAAAGAGGAAUUUGACGGUACCUGAGGAAUAAGCUCCGGCUAACUAAGUGCCAGCAGCCGCGGUAAUACGUAGGGAGCGAGCGUUAUCCGAAAUUAUUGUGCGUAAAGGGUGCGUAGAUGGCAUAGUAAGUCUUUUGUACAAAUG